Non-coding RNA from Triticum aestivum (bread wheat), 124 nucleotides. The record is from Rfam. Lineage: Eukaryota; Viridiplantae; Streptophyta; Magnoliopsida; Poales; Poaceae.
GUAGUACUCCCUCCGUCCAGAAUUACUUGUCGAAGAAAUCGUUAAAAACGGAUGUAUCUAGAACUAACAUAUGUCUAAUACAUCCAUUUCUCCAAUAAGUACUUCCGGACGGAGGGAGUUCUGG